This is a long non-coding RNA of Symsagittifera roscoffensis, 816 nucleotides long. RefSeq lists it as uncharacterized. NCBI's taxonomy places the organism in Eukaryota, Metazoa, Xenacoelomorpha, Acoela, Convolutidae. The transcript is spliced from 3 exons. The record is from RefSeq and is a predicted model, not a curated record.
UUGCGCAUUGAAUGCGACUUGGUGCUUCAAAAAACACCGAAGAUGAUAGCUUCAAAAGUUUCAUCUUAUGCUUUAUUUUCUAUUUUUUGGUUUAUUUCUUCACCUGCUAUAGCCAAAAAUCAGCAGUAUCCAGAUGUCAACAGCUCAAAGUUUUUGCAAAUCGAAGAACUUUUGAAGCAAACAGCAUCUACUUUAUCUGAUAAUUUCAAAAUUUGGUCUUCAGAUUUAUCAAAUCCUGCAAGCCACUUGUUGCAAUCUAAUUUAUUUAACUGUAGCUUCAUAGAUAGUUACAAUCUGGAAAACGUUAUUCCAAAUGACGAGGCUUUAGCAUCAAAUAAAAAUUACUUUCUUUCGAAACAACAUUCCUCGGUAAUUUAUCCAGAGAGUUUGGUGUCAGUUUUCGGAAAACAUUUGAACUUCUCUGGAUAUUCACACUUCAGCGUUUUUCCGCACUUGUUGAGCAAACUGUGUUUCGGCGUGAACGAAGUGGAACCGAAGCUGAAAAGUUUGCGAGACUCAUUGGGUUCUUUGGUGACGUCAUCCACUUAUCAUUCCAACACUGGAUUCUCUAUUCUACAUCCAGCCAUAUCUGCGCCAAAAGUAUUCCGGAAUAGCCCGGAUUCAAAUUCACGCUUACACAAGGGUUACUUGAAACUACUUCAGCCUUCGAAGUCACUGAUUAUUCUAGUGGACAAUUCCAAUGUGGCCUUCACCAAUACCAUCAGAGCUUUUCUUUUCUCACUUCUUGAAACAAUAACAGAUGCAGAUGAAGUUUAUUUGGUCUAUCUCGAUAGUAGACUGGGUAGUGAGUUGAAA